UUUAUGGAGAGUUUGAUCCUGGCUCAGGAUGAACGCUGGCGGCGUGCCUAAUACAUGCAAGUCGAGCGAACGGAUAAGGAGCUUGCUCCUUUGAAGUUAGCGGCGGACGGGUGAGUAACACGUGGGUAACCUACCUAUAAGACUGGAAUAACUUCGGGAAACCGGAGCUAAUGCCGGAUAACAUUUGGAACCGCAUGGUUCUAAAGUAAAAGAUGGUUUUGCUAUCACUUAUAGAUGGACCCGCGCCGUAUUAGCUAGUUGGUAAGGUAACGGCUUACCAAGGCAACGAUACGUAGCCGACCUGAGAGGGUGAUCGGCCACACUGGAACUGAGACACGGUCCAGACUCCUACGGGAGGCAGCAGUAGGGAAUCUUCCGCAAUGGACGAAAGUCUGACGGAGCAACGCCGCGUGAGUGAUGAAGGUUUUCGGAUCGUAAAACUCUGUUAUUAGGGAAGAACAAAUGCGUAAGUAACUGUGCGCAUCUUGACGGUACCUAAUCAGAAAGCCACGGCUAACUACGUGCCAGCAGCCGCGGUAAUACGUAGGUGGCA
RNAcentral lists this ribosomal RNA (553 nucleotides) under Tetragenococcus koreensis. RNAcentral describes it as "bacterial SSU rRNA". It matches the Rfam family "Bacterial small subunit ribosomal RNA", at positions 1 to 536 of the family's 1533-position model. The record is from RNAcentral. Lineage: Bacteria; Bacillati; Bacillota; Bacilli; Lactobacillales; Enterococcaceae.